CCACUUUUCACAAUGCCAUAGCAGAUGAAUGAUUAUCUCCUUGGUUCUGCGGCACAUGUAUCAGCAACUAAGCAUACAUUUUCCCUCCUCAAGUAAUUGAUUUUCAAAAUCGACCCUAGCUCAUGUGUCCAAACAUAAUAGAACCUUACAUACGGCGAACUGAUGCAAAUCUUCCUACAAGAGCCAGGUAAAAUUAACAAGUCCAUAUUCUAGUACCAAUCAUGAAAAUCAUAAAAAGUUCCUCAAGUGUUAAAAGACCAUACCAGAUGCUAUCAAACCACAGAAUCCACUAGGAAAUAACUACAUCAGCUAUAAUUAAUACUACGUCUCAAACUUUAUGCAUCAUCAGAAAAAGAGUAGCAUGUUCUCUCUGUUUAGCUAAUUACAUCAUCAACAUUUGGCUUCAGCAUCACACAUUAUCCAUGAGAGCCAAACACCAAUGUCAAAAUCAUCAAGUUGACCUGUCACAAGCAUUCAGAAAACUAAUAGAAGGCAUUAUAAGGGAC
This 506-nucleotide long non-coding RNA is filed under the name Panax ginseng (ginseng). RNAcentral's name for it is "long non-coding RNA (PGIN_LNC009527)". The record is from RNAcentral. Lineage: Eukaryota; Viridiplantae; Streptophyta; Magnoliopsida; Apiales; Araliaceae.